AUGAGUGUGGAACAGGACGUGAAGGUGGUGGAGUCGUGCAUGGUGACUCCCAGCGAGGAGACGCCUAGGAAAGGCUUGUGGAUUUCCCCGAUCGACCUCACGUGGGCCACCAGGGGCCACACUCCGACGGUGCACCUGUACCUUCCCGGCUCCGGUCCCGUCGAUGGCUUCUUCGACGUGCCCAGGCUCAAGGCGGCAUUGGCCAAGGCUCUGGUCGCCUUCUACCCCCUGGCCGGCCGUCUCGGCAUGGACUCCAAUGGCCGGGCAGAGAUCGAUUGCACUGGCGAGGGCGCGCUCUUUGUUGUCGCUCUCUCAGACCUCACCGUCGAAGACUUCAGCAAGUUGAAGCCGUCGCGGGAGCUAAAGAGGCUCUUCAUUCCCCGCGUCGAGGACUACUCGCCGCCCCUCAUGUGCGGCCUCCAGGUGAACUUCCUCAAGGGCGGCGGAGUGGCCAUUGGGAUGACGCUGCACCACACCUCCGCCGACGCCAUGAGCGCGUUCCACUUCUUGCAGACCUGGGCUGCUUUCUCCAGGGACGCGGCGGCAGCGGCGGCCCUGGAGCUCCCGUGCCACGAACGCACCCUCCUCCGUCCUCGCUCCCCUCCCGUCGUACACCCCGACGCUCUCACCGUGUUCUGCCCGAGGGUAGGCAAAUCCGAGCCGCCGGGAGCCGUUGAGAACGUGAUUUUCGUCCUCUCCAAAGACCAGGUCGACGCUAUCAAGCGUGCUUGCACCGGCAGAGCUGACGGUGGCCGCGUGAGCUCCUUCUGCGCCGUGAGCGCCCACGUGUGGCGGUGCCUGUGUGUUGCCCGACAACUGCCGGCGGACGCGACGACGCGCCUCACCUUCCCCGCCAACAUCCGGCGCAGCCUGAGGCCGCCGCUCCCGGACACGUACUUUGGAAACGGGAUCGUCAUGCUGGGCGCCGUCGCCAAGGUGCAGGACAUUGUCUGCUCCGACGAGCUGGCCUCUGUUGCUGGUCGGAUUAGAGACGUUAUCCGCCGGAUGGACGACGAGCUGGUGCGUUCGGUGAUCGACCACUUGGAGAUGGCCGGCAGCCAGACAUUUAUGCCUUCGGGAAGGAUGCCGGUGACUGAGCUGAAGGUGGUCAGCUGGCGAGGCAUGCCGGUGUACGACGCGGAUUUUGGCUGGGGGAAGCCGGUGGCCAUGCACCGCGCCGUGCAACCGCAUGGCGGGAUCAUCUGCCUCAUAGACGACGACGGCGGCAGCAUGCGCAUCGUCCUGUCUGCCGAGCCUGGAAUUGUCAAGGACUUCGAGCGCCUGCUACAUGCCAAGUUUUAA
Molecule: ribosomal RNA, 1302 nt
Filed under: Triticum aestivum (bread wheat)
Lineage: Eukaryota; Viridiplantae; Streptophyta; Magnoliopsida; Poales; Poaceae
Description: partial small subunit ribosomal RNA
Source: RNAcentral